AGCUUAAGAGUUUAAAGAGAGAAGGAACCAGUUGAGUGACAGACAAACUAUGAAAAGACUGUGUGACAGAGAAACAGAACAACCACGACACAUAGAAGAACCAAAGAACAAGAUCAUGCACAGAGAGACAAAGACUCCAUGACAAACUUCGGAACUGAGAACAUCACAGGUGACAUGGGGAAUGGCUCCUUCUCCUGCCACCACUUCUCGUUUGAGACCUUCCGCUGCUUUGGCGUGCUGUGGAAUUCGGCUGUGACCAUAGUUGGGACGGUGGGGAACGUGAUGACCAUUCUGUCCGGCUGCGGACUCGUUUCAACUCGCUGAUCGUGAACCUGGGCCUGGCGGACCAACUGUACUGCACCCUGCUGCAGCCUGCCUGUGUUGACUCCUACCUACACCUCCGCUGGAGGGGCGGCGUCUUCGGCCACCUCCUCUUCCUCUCCAACUCCGUCUCCAUCAUCACACUGUAUCUGAUCAAGGCAAGCCUCUACCUGCUGGUGGCGAGGCGGUGUGCACCUGCAGUUUCCACCGCACCAGGGGGCGCCCUUACACCACCGUGCUGCUCUUCUUCUACUUCUUCACCGGCCUGGGCUGCGCGGUGCUUUUAUUCCUGCUCAUCUACAGGCGGGUCAGGGAGGCAGCAAGGGCACCGGUCAGCUACUGACUCAGCUGACGCUUAUCACGAAGGAAGCCGACCUCAGAACCAGGGAUGGAGAGGGGCAGUGGCGUCGGGAGAGGGGUGGCCACCUUCCAGAGCUGUGAGUUGAACAGCCAGGGGGAACUACCCCAAUACAAGGGUGGAGAGGUGAAGGGGAACCCUGGGAAAGCCCAGUCCUCCCACUCCACCUGGGGGUCUGCUUUAACUUCACAUUUAGCUCACCUAGCAGGGGGACAGGAGCCCCCCCUGCCCUUAGCCCUGCGCUCCACUUUGCUGCUCCUGCCCCUAUCACUGCCCCCUCCUCCUCCACCACCUCUUCAGGGGACAAUGGAAGCCAGAAACCACCAACGGGGAGAUACCACUGUAUCAAGACCUGGGGGGUGUUAAUUAUGCAAACUACAUCCUCCUCUACAUCUUGUUUAUUUGUGUCAUUGUCUCUUGGUCUGUUUAUAAUAAAACAAAUCUGUACUUUCA
Oncorhynchus gorbuscha (pink salmon) is the source of this 1132-nucleotide long non-coding RNA. RefSeq lists it as uncharacterized. NCBI's taxonomy places the organism in Eukaryota, Metazoa, Chordata, Actinopteri, Salmoniformes, Salmonidae. The record is from RefSeq and is a predicted model, not a curated record. The transcript has 4 exons.